ACCCGCCGCCGUCGGGGGCUUCGUGUGACCCCCCCGGGCUGAAAUUGAGGGGGAGAGACCCCAAAAUCCUCCCCCUAAAACGAGGAGGGGGCUGAAUGGCACCGCCAGCCUCGCUCCAGACCCAAAACUGGGGGAUUUAACCCCAAAAUGAGAGGGUUUAGCCCCAAAUUGAGGCUCUCAGUGGGGUCACCCUCAAUUUUUGCCGCCCACACCUGUGGGUUUUGGGGUGUCCUGCUUCCCCCCACAUCGUGCUGAACCCAAACCGAGGGGUUUUAGCCCCAAAAUGGAAUUUGGGUUUGGCCCCAAAAUAGGCGUUUUUAGCCCCAAACUGGGGUCUCUCCCCCCCCGAUUUGGGGGUGUGUUUGGGGGGUGGGGGGAGCCUCUGUGCCGCCGCUUGACCCCCACCUGCAUGGCCGGGCUGGGGGGACCCCCAAAAUUCAGUGGGGGGACCCCAAAACCGUCCCCACGCAUGGUUGGGAUGGGGGGAACCCCUGAAUUUUGGGGAGGGGGUUCCCCAGCAUGGCUGGAAUGGGGAGGGGACCCCAAAAUUUCAUGUGGGGACUCCAGAACUGCCCCCACCCCCGGCAUGGCUGAAAUGGGGUGGGGACCCCAAAAUUCCGUGUGGGUUAUGCUGUGGGGGAGGGGACACACAGGAGACCCCCAAAAUGCCACGUGGGGGCUGGAGUGGAGGGAGGGGAACCCCAAAAUUCUGUGUGGGGACCCCAAAACCGGACCCAAAAUUCUGCGUGGGGGUCCCAAAAAUCAGACCCCAAAAUUCUGCGUGAGGACCCCAAAAUUCUGUGUGGGGGUCCCAAAAUUCUGUGUGGGGUUCCCAGAACCAGACCCCAAAAUUCUGUGUGGGGGUCCCAAAACCAGACCCCAAAAUUCUGUGUGGGGACCCCAUAAUUCUGUGUGGGGACCCCAAAACUGCCCCCCGCCAUGGGAGGGGACCCCAAAAGCCCCGCGGGGGUGCACGAGGUCACCAAACGGGUGGGACAGAGUGGGGGACACACAGACAGAGGAGGGGACAGGGGGACCCCAGCCCCGCCUGACGCCGUCCCCGUCCCCCAGCAGCGUCCC
RNAcentral lists this long non-coding RNA (1080 nucleotides) under Cyanistes caeruleus (blue tit). RNAcentral describes it as "lncRNA (ENSCCEG00000001234.1)". Lineage: Eukaryota; Metazoa; Chordata; Aves; Passeriformes; Paridae. The record is from RNAcentral.